RNAcentral lists this long non-coding RNA (315 nucleotides) under Lotus japonicus. Its description in RNAcentral is "long non-coding RNA (LJAP_LNC002132)". The record is from RNAcentral. Lineage: Eukaryota; Viridiplantae; Streptophyta; Magnoliopsida; Fabales; Fabaceae.
UUGAUUUUACCUCAAUUCUAUAUCCAUUCUUGCCCAUUUCCAUCAUCCACUUUGCCACCCAAACACCACAAUUAUUUCUAAAAACACAAACAGAAAACAAAUCUUAAUUGUGAUGAAGUUAAAUAGACAUGUUGCAAGGUAUGAUCCAUCCCUUAAAAAGGUGAUAAAAUUAAGAUAUCGUCAUUCUAAUAUAUUAGAAAGAGACAUUGAAACUUACAAUCCAUUCCUCUGGACACCUAUACCAUCUGGAAUGACAGUGGUAAACAAUGAAGUCUUAGAUCUUUCCGUUGUCAUUAGUGGGGAUAAAGAUCUACA